CCAUGUUUUUUUUUUUUCUGUAUUCACUACAUUGACGGCCAAUAUAUAAGAACGUGGCUGGCCGGGGUGGAUAGGUGUGCGUUUACAUACAGUACUUUUAAGCCAGAAAGUGGAGUUUGCUUCCCGGGAAAAACUAAAGUCUUUCACCCAGGAAAUUCAUAUCCUUAGAAGUGUUUUAAUCCCAAACCAUGAUAUUUUUCCUAAUCUUAACUAGUUGUUUUGGUGCCUAAUCUUAACUUUCGUUGCAGCAAAACGCUCAUAUUUUGUGGACUAAAUUUAACCAUGACCUCCGCCGAAACA
Molecule: long non-coding RNA, 300 nt
Organism: Etheostoma spectabile (orangethroat darter)
Lineage: Eukaryota; Metazoa; Chordata; Actinopteri; Perciformes; Percidae
Exons: 3
Source: RefSeq, a predicted model, not a curated record